CCGGCACUUCUGUCGCUUCGGCCAGAAGUCGUCGAAACUCAAGGGGGAGUAUCACAAGCUCUCCCGGCACUUCUGUCGCUUCGGCCAGAGGUCGUCGAAACUCAGGGGGAGUAUCACAAGCUCUCCUGGCACUUCUGUCGCUUCGGCCAGAAGUCGUCGAAAUUCAAGGGGGAGUAUCACAAGCUCUCCCGGCACUUCUGUCGCUUCGGCCAGAAGUCGUCGAAAUUCAGGGGGGAGUAUUACAAGCUCUCCCGACACUUCUGUCGCUUCGGCCAGAAGUCGUCGAAAAAAUUUGAGCAUGGUGAAUUCUGUCGCUUUGGCCAGAUUCACCAAGGAUUUAUUGAGCAAAGGAGGAGCUUCACGAGAGGUAAAUCGCAGGUAAGUUCAAUAAUUAAUAUAUGCGUUU
This 406-nucleotide long non-coding RNA is filed under the name Zostera marina. RNAcentral describes it as "long non-coding RNA (ZMAR_LNC003248)". Lineage: Eukaryota; Viridiplantae; Streptophyta; Magnoliopsida; Alismatales; Zosteraceae. The record is from RNAcentral.